GUCCUAGUAGCUUAAACCUACAAAGCAUCGGUCUUGUAAACCGGAAAUGGGGUUCACCCCCUAGGACA
Molecule: non-coding RNA, 68 nt
Organism: Lacerta agilis (Sand lizard)
Lineage: Eukaryota; Metazoa; Chordata; Lepidosauria; Squamata; Lacertidae
Source: the annotation of a RefSeq genome assembly